This 465-nucleotide ribosomal RNA is filed under the name uncultured bacterium. Its description in RNAcentral is "bacterial SSU rRNA". It matches the Rfam family "Bacterial small subunit ribosomal RNA", at positions 330 to 792 of the family's 1533-position model. The record is from RNAcentral.
CCCAGACUCCUACGGGAGGCAGCAGUGAGGAAUAUUGGUCAAUGGGCGAGAGCCUGAACCAGCCAAGUCGCGUGAGGGAAGACGGUCCUAUGGAUUGUAAACCUCUUUUGUCAGGGAGCAAAGUCACCCACGUGUGGGUGUUGGAGAGUACCUGAAGAAAAAGCAUCGGCUAACUCCGUGCCAGCAGCCGCGGUAAUACGGAGGAUGCGAGCGUUAUCCGGAUUUAUUGGGUUUAAAGGGUGCGUAGGCGGUUCGAUAAGUUAGAGGUGAAAUCCCGGGGCUCAACUCCGGCACUGCCUCUGAUACUGUCGGGCUAGAGUUUAGUUGCGGUAGGCGGAAUGUAUGGUGUAGCGGUGAAAUGCAUAGAGAUCAUACAGAACACCGAUUGCGAAGGCAGCUUACCAAACUACGACUGACGUUGAGGCACGAAAGCGUGGGGAGCAAACAGGAUUAGAUACCCACGUA